RNAcentral lists this ribosomal RNA (497 nucleotides) under uncultured bacterium. RNAcentral describes it as "partial 16S ribosomal RNA". It matches the Rfam family "Bacterial small subunit ribosomal RNA", at positions 28 to 507 of the family's 1533-position model. The record is from RNAcentral.
GAUGAACGCUGGCGGCGUGCCUAAUACAUGCAAGUCGAGCGAACGGACGAGAAGCUUGCUUCUCUGAUGUUAGCGGCGGACGGGUGAGUAACACGUGGAUAACCUACCUAUAAGACUGGGAUAACUUCGGGAAACCGUAGCUAAUACCGGAUAAUAUUUUGAACCGCAUGGUUCAAAAGUGAAAGACGGUCUUGCUGUCACUUAUAGAUGGAUCCGCGCUGCAUUAGCUAGUUGGUAAGGUAACGGCUUACCAAGGCAACGAUGCAUAGCCGACCUGAGAGGGUGAUCGGCCACACUGGAACUGAGACACGGUCCAGACUCCUACGGGAGGCAGCAGUAGGGAAUCUUCCGCAAUGGGCGAAAGCCUGACGGAGCAACGACGCGUGAGUGAUGAAGGUCUUCGGAUCGUAAAACUCUGUUAUUAGGGAAGAACAUAUGUGUAAGUAACUGUGCACAUCUUGACGGUACCUGAUCAGAAAGCCACGGCUAACUACGUG